CUACGGGCCGCAGCAGUGGGGAAUAUUGCACAAUGGGCGCAAGCCUGAUGCAGCCAUGCCGCGUGUAUGAAGAAGGCCUUCGGGUUGUAAAGUACUUUCAGCGGGGAGGAAGGGAGUAAAGUUAAUACCUUUGCUCAUUGACGUUACCCGCAGAAGAAGCACCGGCUAAGUCCGUGCCAGCAGCCGCGGUAAUACGGAGGGUGCAAGCGUUAAUCGGAAUUACUGGGCGUAAAGCGCACGCAGGCGGUUUGUUAAGUCAGAUGUGAAAUCCCCGGGCUCAACCUGGGAACUGCAUCUGAUACUGGCAAGCUUGAGUCUCGUAGAGGGGGGUAGAAUUCCAGGUGUAGCGGUGAAAUGCGGAGAGAUCUGGAGGAAUACCGGUGGCGAAGGCGGCCCCCUGGACGAAGACUGACGCUCAGGUGCGAAAGCGUGGGGAGCAAACAGGAUUAGAUACCCCAGUAGUC
RNAcentral lists this ribosomal RNA (464 nucleotides) under uncultured bacterium. Its description in RNAcentral is "partial 16S ribosomal RNA". It matches the Rfam family "Bacterial small subunit ribosomal RNA", at positions 339 to 795 of the family's 1533-position model. The record is from RNAcentral.